This 465-nucleotide ribosomal RNA is filed under the name Vreelandella stevensii. RNAcentral describes it as "partial 16S ribosomal RNA". It matches the Rfam family "Bacterial small subunit ribosomal RNA", at positions 338 to 795 of the family's 1533-position model. Lineage: Bacteria; Pseudomonadati; Pseudomonadota; Gammaproteobacteria; Oceanospirillales; Halomonadaceae. The record is from RNAcentral.
CCUACGGGCGGCUGCAGUGGGGAAUAUUGGACAAUGGGCGAAAGCCUGAUCCAGCCAUGCCGCGUGUGUGAAGAAGGCCUUAGGGUUGUAAAGCACUUUCAGUGGGGAAGAAAGCCUUGGGGCUAAUACCCUCGAGGAAGGACAUCACCCACAGAAGAAGCACCGGCUAACUCCGUGCCAGCAGCCGCGGUAAUACGGAGGGUGCGAGCGUUAAUCGGAAUUACUGGGCGUAAAGCGCGCGUAGGCGGUCUGAUAAGCCGGUUGUGAAAGCCCCGGGCUCAACCUGGGAACGGCAUCCGGAACUGUCAGGCUAGAGUGCAGGAGAGGAAGGUAGAAUUCCCGGUGUAGCGGUGAAAUGCGUAGAGAUCGGGAGGAAUACCAGUGGCGAAGGCGGCCUUCUGGACUGACACUGACGCUGGGGUGCGAAAGCGUGGGUAGCAAACAGGAUUAGAUACCCCGGUAGUC